This 5138-nucleotide long non-coding RNA is filed under the name Linum usitatissimum (flax). RNAcentral describes it as "long non-coding RNA (LUSI_LNC006180)". The record is from RNAcentral. Lineage: Eukaryota; Viridiplantae; Streptophyta; Magnoliopsida; Malpighiales; Linaceae.
UGACACUCUUCUCUAGCUUUGUUCUGACUGUUAUUUUGCUGGAAAAUGAAGAAAUGAGCUUCAUUUGAAUUCCUUAUUCCCUUGGAAAUUGCUAUUUCUGGUGAAAUUUGGUGUUUAUAAAUGGGGGACUGUUAGGGGAAGCAGGCAGUUCCAUUCUCAUAAUCAGUAUGCCACCAACCUUGUAAGAAGUCUGAUUUUGGAAAGUCAGGUUGGCUUGAAGCAUAGCUUAAUUAUGAUAACUAAUUUUGGUUCUUCUGAGCUGUUGUCUGUUGGUUGUGAAUGAAUGGAAAUUUGUGGUUUGGGUUCCGUGGACUGUGGGAUGGAUUCUUUUUGUUGUUCGUUGUGGUUCCUGGUCUCCAUUUGACAAACUUCUCCUUUUACUUCCUUUUGAAAGUUCCAUCCUUUGGAUUUUUCUUGUACAUGGGUUCAGUCAUUCUGUCAGCGUGCAUUCUUGCUGUAUGGUAAAGUGCUGAAAGUAAGCUCUUUUUGAUGUUCUUGGUGUGCAUACUGAAGAGAUUGAAUGACUAGAACCUGAUUUGCCUUCAGAUUGAAUAGGCGACCAAGGGAUAAGCUUUGUUUUGAUAUAGCUGUUUGUUUCUGUCAAUUUUCCAAAUCCAGGAAUCUGAAGGAGCUGGACUUGCAAGAGAAUGACGUUGAAGAUCACAGAGGGCAUUGGCUUAGCUGCUUCCCUGACAGCAGUACCUCUCUUGUUUCCCUCAAUUUUGCAUGCCUCAAAGGAGAUAUUAAUUUAGCAGCCCUGGAGAGGCUUGUAGCAAGAUCCCCCAACCUGAGGAGCUUGAGGCUAAGUCGUGCCGUGCCACUUGAUGUGCUUCAGAGGAUACUGAUCCGUGCUCCCCAGUUGGUGGAGUUGGGUGUGGGUUCUUAUCUUCACGAUCCAGAGUCCGAGUGUUAUGAUAAUCUUGCGGCUGCCAUUCAGAAGUGCAAGUCUGUUAGGAGUCUAUCUGGAUUCUUGGAUGUUGCUCCCCAUUGCCUAGCAGCUUUCCAUGUCAUCUGCCCGAACUUAACCACCUUGAACUUGAGUUAUGCCCCAGGAAUUCAUGGCAGUGAGCUUAUGAAGCUAAUUCGUCACUGUAGGAAACUUCAGCGAUUAUGGGUAAAGCAAGCGUCUUUUGAUUUUCGUUUGAGUCAUUCUUGGUUUGGUUAUCAUAGUGUUGCUUACUUGAUAAAAUCUCAUCGAAUUUCUUGCAUCUGCUGCAGAUACUGGAUUGCAUUGGUGAUAAAGGACUCGAGGUUGUAGCUGAUACUUGUAAAGAUUUGGAGGAGUUGAGGGUCUUUCCUUCUGAUCCCUUUGUUGGACAAGCGACUGUAACAGAAGAAGGCCUUGUUGCCAUCUCAAGAGGUUGCCGGAAGCUUAAUUCAAUACUCUACUUCUGUCAGCAGAUGACAAAUGCUGCACUGAUAACAGUUGCAAAAAACUGUCCGUAUUUCAUAAGGUUCAGGCUGUGCAUUCUGGAUCCCACAAAACCAGAUGCUGCUACCCAGCAGCCACUGGAUGAAGGUUUUGGGGCGAUCGUUCGAGAAUGCAAGGAUCUGAAGCGCUUGUCACUUUCCGGCCUUCUGACCGACCAAGUUUUCCAGUACAUUGGGAUGUACGCUUCUCAGCUGGAGAUGCUGUCGAUAGCGUUUGCAGGGGACAGUGACAAAGGGAUGCAGUAUGUGCUGGACGGGUGCAAGAAGCUGAGGAAGCUCGAGAUAAGGGACAGCCCGUUCGGGAAUGCAGCACUUCUCAUGGAUGUGGGGAAGUACGAGACAAUGCGAUCCCUUUGGAUGUCGGCCUGUGAUGUCACGCUUGGAGGCUGCAAAGUUUUAGCCAAGAGGAUGCCGGGGCUGAACGUGGAGAUCAUGAACGAGAAUGAUCAGAUGGAGUUUGGGGACGAUGAUCGGCAGAAGGUGGACAAGAUGUACCUGUAUCGAACGCUGGCCGGACAAAGGAGAGAUGCACCUGGAUUCGUCUGGACACUGUAAGGUAAAAGAAGAGGUAGGCAAUAAGUAAGCAAGCAUUAUAAGAAAGGAAGAGGUUGAAUGCAAAAGCUUGUUGGUAGCUGCAUCUCUUGCCUAUCACAGCCUGUGUUGUGCCCUAAGAAAUAUUGUUGAAUUAGUUUGUACUUUGUGUAGGCCAACUGAUCACUGUAAUGGAUAUUAUUACUUGGUGGGUGUUAUUUGUUGCACUUUGAGUUUUAGUUUUGUAAGAGAUUUGAAUAUGGGUUGGGGUGUUUCUACUCCCCUUUUUAUUUGGCAUAUUCAUAUCUUAAAGAGUACUCUCCUACUUGGGAUUUGGGGCUGCUUAUUGCUAUGAUAUAUAUGUCUUUGCAAUUGUUACCAUUUCCAGCCAGCAUCAGGUGCUCACUGAGAAAUGUGUUAUCUGGGUUCCAUGUUUCUGAAUUUUCCAGUUUGCAAUGGAACAACACCCAAGACCUCGACUUUGAAACUUGGUUUGUUUGGAAACAACAAAAUAUUUGUGAACUACUCGACCAGAUAUUUGUUACACAUUCAAUCAUUAGAGUUAGUUUGUUUCUUCCUCCAUCGCUACUCAUUACUCAAUCGUUGGUUACUCAUCGACUAUAUAUUAUGCUAUCUCAAAGGUACACCUCCUCAUGGUUUACAUUUUCCAGGCGCUUCUCUAAAAAAUGUACUUUAUCUCAAUUUAAUUGGGCAGGAUAUCCUGAUUCUCGAUGCUUUAUCACAUGAUUUUGUAUUUUCCUUACAUGUUGUUUUCCUUCUUUAGAAAUCAAAGAAACAACCUACUGUUUCUCGCUUUUUUGCGGAAAUCGAAUACCAUACUCUGGCAUAUAUCUAUGUACUUUCACUGAACUUCAAUGACUAUACGAACUUCUAAAACUUUUACUAUAAACUUCUCUCGGGCUUUCUCAUUUCAUCGUGAUAAUAAAAGAUGAAAAAUAAUCCUUUUCAAUAUGAAAAAAACAAAACAUAUAAAGUUAGAUUGUCAUUUUAUUCAUGAUCAUAUCUUACUCAAAGUCAAAUCAUAUUUCUACUCACAAUCAACUCGUCGAUCCCUUCGCAAAGCCAUUACCAGUCCAUGUUUUUCAGUCUCUUAUUUCCAAAUUACACUUGGAAUCUAUCCUUGCUUAGUUUGUGAUGAUAAGGUUGUUACUAGUUUGUAAGAAAUAGUUAGUUAGGCUGUUAGUAUGGUUAAUUACAGUAUGUUCAGUGACCUUCUCUAUAUAUACUUACAAGCAUGGGUUGUAAAUCCCACUUUUCCAAAUCAGCAAUAACAGAUUCAUUUCCCCUUUUCUCUCUGAUCCAAUCCAUCGCCUUUCUCCCGAUCCAUCUACUUCCCAACACAGACCAAUAGCAUCCAUCCUUCUCAGAUCCGUAGCUCCAAUUUCUGCUCUAAAAGCUCCAAUCAUUCCUCCAGAUCUGGGUCGUCCAGCUUGACUGCGUUGAAUCGAUGCCUGCCUGAUUUUUCGCGGGGUUUGAGGAUGAACCACUUCCCCGAUGAGGUUUUGGAGCACAUCUUCAAAUUCGUGGCGACUCACCAGGACAGGAACUCGGUUUCCCAGGUCUGUAAAUUGUGGCACAGGAUCGAGAGUUACAGUAGGCAGAAAGUGUUCAUAGGGAACUGCUAUGCGAUUAGUCCGGAGAGGGUGGUUGGGAGGUUCCCUGGUCUGAAAUCCAUUACUUUGAAGGGGAAGCCUCAUUUCGCUGACUUCAAUCUGGUUCCUCCUGACUGGGGAGGCUUUGUUUACCCAUGGAUCGAGGCCUUUGCAAGGAACCGGGUCGGGUUGGAGGAGCUCCGGCUGAAGAGGAUGGUUGUUUCUGAUGAAAGCUUGAAGUUGCUGUCGACUUCUUUCCCUAAUUUCAAGUCUUUGGUUCUGGUGAGCUGUGAAGGCUUCACUACUGAUGGCCUUGUUGCUGUUGCUGCUAAUUGUAGGUAAGAAUUUCUGGCUCCUCUCUUAGCUUUGUUCAACUGUUGUUUUGCUGAAAACGAAGAAAUGAGCUUCUGGUGAGACUUGGUGAAUAUAAAUGGGGUGGCUGUUAGGGCAAGUAGGCAGUAAGGAUGAUUUUGGGAAGUAAGGCUAGCUUGAAACAUAGCUUACUUUUGGUACUAUUUUUGUUUCUUCUGAGCUGUUGUAUGUUGGUUGUGAUUUGUGAAUGAAUGAAAAUGUGUGGUUUGGGUUCCCUGGCCUGUGGGAUGGAUCUUUUCUUUAUGUCCUCUGCACUGACCAUGUUCAUCGUGGUUCCUGGUCUCCAUUUGACAAACUUCCCUUUUUAAUUACUUUUCAUUUUCAAAGUUCCCAUCCAUCGCAUUUUUUCUUGUUCACGGGUUUAGUGAUCCUGUCGGCGUUUGAUUGCGGCAACCUGAUAUUGUUGAGUGGUAAAAAUGAGCUCCUUUUGAUGUUCUUGGUGAGAAAUUGAACGAGUAGAACCUGAUUUGCCUUUUGAUGUUGGUGGGUGUUCACCGAUGGAAGUUCUUUCUUCCAAGUGCUUGGCUGUCCAUGUUUCGUUAUAAGUUGCUUGCCUUCGAGGGUUUGAUUGUAAAGCUAAUAUCAGCUAGUUUAUAUUUCUUUCAUUUCUAUAGCAUGUUCUUGCUUGUACUUUGCUGGUUUUUUCUCUUAGUAGUGGCUACAUUUUGGGUAAGGCAAUGCUAGGAGACCAUCCAAAAGGGAUAUCAGCACCUUCCUUAGUUAGUUCACUACUUCACAAAGUCUCUAUAGGUUCUUUUCCUCUAUGUGUUGGACCUAAUAAUAAACCGUUGUUCAUCAAUACAAAACACAGCGACCGAGGGAUAAGCUCUGUUUUGAUAGAGCUCUUUGUUUUUAUAAAUUUUCCCAACCCAGGCAUUUGAAGGAGCUGGACUUGCAAGAGAAUGACGUUGAAGAUCACAGAGGGCAUUGGCUUAGCUGCUUCCCUGACAGCAGUACCUCUCUUGUUUCACUUAAUUUUGCAUGCCUCAAAGGAGAUAUUGAUUUAGAAGCCCUGGAGAGUCUUGUAGCGAGAUCGCCCAACCUGAGGAGCUUGAGGCUAAGUCGCGCCGUGCCAUUUGAUGUGCUUCAGAGGAUAUUGAUCCUUGCUCCCCAGUUGGUGGAUUUGGGUGUAGGUUCUUAUCUUCAUGAUCCAGAGUCUGAGAAUUAUGAUAAAUUUGCGGCUGCCAUUCA